GGUGAGAGCGUGGCUGCCGCUCGCUAAUUGGUCCGUUCUGAGGGAGGCGGGGCCCGCUCUGAGGCCGCGGUCUGUGGCCGCUCCGCCUCAGCCAGCGGGGGCGGCCAUGGCGGCUGGGGGGUCGCCGCCGGCGGGCCCGGCCGAGCCCAACCCCUUCUCCUUCCACGAGUUCGUUCGCAGCAAAGCCCGGAGCGGUGAGGAGGCGGGCGAUUCUCGCCAGGCAGGUCCCGGGCAGAGACGCGACUCCCUUCAGCCUCUCUGCUCUCCGCAGGCGGCGGCGCCGGCCGGCCCGAGCCUCGGCCCCCUCUUGUUCCCGGAUCCGGCGCCGCUGGGAGAGGAUGAGGAUGAGGAGGAAUGGAGCGGGAGCUACCAGCCCUCGGCCGUGGAGCAGGCCCACCUCGCCGCCGCGGGCCCCGCCUCGCCCUUCUUCUUGGAGGGCGCGGGGCUGGGGGGCGGCGGGGACCCGAGCGGGGCUUCCCUCGGGGCGCCUCCGGGGCCGGGCUUCCCCUCCCUGCGGCAGCCCAGCUACGAGGAGCUAAAAGAAGAGAAUGCCAGUUUGAGAAGCAAGAUCAAUAAGCUUCAGAUUUUCUCUGAAACUCAAGCAGACAAGUGCGUAAGCCACAGUUUGGGGGAAAGUAACCACAUAAGCAAGGAGCUGUCUUAGAAGAGGUGCUCACUGGAAACAGUCAGCGUCUUUAAAGAAGAAAAAUGUAGUUGAAAUCUAUGCUGUUUGUUAAAAAGCUUUAACCAACCUGAUUUUCUUAUUGAAAAGGGCUUGGAAAGUAAGUGGCAAGCUGACAUCUGAUGAGUGUGCUUGUGUGGCUUGUGUUUCGUGCAGUUUAGGUGGUGAAAGAAAAUGAGGGUAGAGCUUGACAGGAUGCAUUUCAUAAAGCUUCAGACUAACAAAAUAAUGAAUCUUAGCCUCUCUCCUUUGAAGCAAGAAAAGCAUUUUUUUUAUUUUUGCUGGUGAGCAGCUUGGUACUGGGGUAGUUGAAUUUCCUGAGGUUAAACAACCCGUUGAUUAGUCCAGGGUGGCAACUUCUGAAGUUCCUCUGCACUCUGCUGCUCCUCACAGCAAGGCAGCUGAUGCUUCCAUGGUGACCAUUGGAUUCAGAAUUACCCUUAUUUAGGCUGAUUGUGAAUGGCUGUGUUUUCUGCAUGGCCUUUUUCCAUAGUACCCUUUAACACUAAUGGAUGUUGAACAAAGAAAUCCCCUGAGCCACAACCUGGAACUGUACUUCUGUGGGAAGACUUCAUUUUUCUUACAACACAAAUGAAUGUUUCUUGAUUCUUCCCUAGAAUUUUCUUACUAAGGUAUUUAAUGCUACAAGAGCUUACUGCGUAUUUUCUCCUGUUUUUUAAGGAUGAGGAAGCUUGAAAGAAAGCUUGAGGAAAAUAAAAUUAAAGAAGAAAAAGAAGCGCA
RNAcentral lists this long non-coding RNA (1423 nucleotides) under Calidris pugnax (ruff). Its description in RNAcentral is "lncRNA (ENSCPUG00000014828.1)". Lineage: Eukaryota; Metazoa; Chordata; Aves; Charadriiformes; Scolopacidae. The record is from RNAcentral.